RNAcentral lists this ribosomal RNA (235 nucleotides) under uncultured bacterium. Its description in RNAcentral is "partial 16S ribosomal RNA". It matches the Rfam family "Bacterial small subunit ribosomal RNA", at positions 118 to 348 of the family's 1533-position model. The record is from RNAcentral.
UGGGUAACCCACCUCGAUGAUUGGGACAACCCGGGGAAACUCGGGCUAAUACCAAAUGUGCUCGUAGACCAUGAGGUCCAUGAGUAAAGAUAGCUUCGGCCUUCGCAUCGAGACGGGCCCGCGGCCCAUUAGCUUGUUGGUGAGGUAACGGCUCACCAAGGCGACGAUGGGUAGCUGGUCUGAGAGGACGAUCAGCCACACUGGGACUGAGACACGGCCCAGACUCCUAGGGAGG